GGCACUAUAGUCAUUUUAUACCUUGGACUUAUGAGAAGAGGAUGCAACACAUUGAAAUUUGGAGGUGCAGUUGGAAUUUCAUUUGGAAGCUGGAACACUCCACAGCCCAUAUUGCAUUCCUAGGCUGAAAGUGUGUUUCAAUUGGAAGUGGGGUGACGUCCAGCACACACCUGCAACCAUCACACAAGCACGUGAACAGAAAAAAAAAAAAAAGAAGAAGUCUGCCACGGUCUAGCAAAGCGUGAUGGCCUGAGAAAAAAAUGAAGCUGAUUAAAUUCUUGGGAGGUGGCAGCAACGUCCACCAACACAAUCAUGCAGCUGGUCAGCACGUGACAGCACACGGUCACGAUUUUCUUUUGAGAUGCAGCAGGAUUUUCAUAUUUAGGCAGGCAACAACACACUCACGUGCAUCUAGCUGCAACUCGGCCCAAUAACCAACUCCCUUCACGCUCNAAAGCUGGAAGAAAGAAAGCAACACAUGGGGCUGGAUCAAGUGAGCGCAACUUCACAACACGGGCUUCAACAAUUNUGUUUGGAGGGUGCUCACAUCCACGGUGUUGUAGCCCACAUGCCUCCACGCAGCAGCUUCAUUCCAUGCUGCAUUCAGCAACCAACAUCACGGAAGCCCAGCUGCUUCCACGCUCCACGGUGCCUUACACUUGACAGCAGCUUGAAUUGGGCUGCACCACAUGUUACUCGGUCCANCACUUGAAGUUGUUGCCAACGUCCACAACUUUGCAAUCAGCAAGCUGCUUAGGGUUGCCACGGUCUGCACACGUGAAGAAGUUGGCCCAGCGCUGUCAUUGUAUCAACCUGCAGGCCACCGAAAACAAAAAGAAGAGGUGUCCAGCAAUACNUAGGGCAGCAACUGCUUUGGAGAAAGUUGGUGCGACAAUCACGGUCCAGGCAACAAUAAAGAGGUUGCAGUCCACAUUGAAUUACGGUGCAGUAUCUUUGAAGUAGGCUAAGACAGCUAGUCCACAAAGCAGCUNGAUCCGGC
This 1000-nucleotide long non-coding RNA is filed under the name Vigna radiata. RNAcentral describes it as "long non-coding RNA (VRAD_LNC018571)". The record is from RNAcentral. Lineage: Eukaryota; Viridiplantae; Streptophyta; Magnoliopsida; Fabales; Fabaceae.